RNAcentral lists this ribosomal RNA (520 nucleotides) under uncultured bacterium. RNAcentral's name for it is "bacterial SSU rRNA". It matches the Rfam family "Bacterial small subunit ribosomal RNA", at positions 26 to 518 of the family's 1533-position model. The record is from RNAcentral.
AGGACGAACGCUGGCGGCGUGCCUAAUACAUGCAAGUCGAACGGCUUUUCUAUGGAAGCUUGCUUCCACUGAGAAGAUAGUGGCGAACGGGUGAGUAACACGUGGGUAACCUGCCCAUAAGAGGGGGGAUAACAUCCGGAAACGGGUGCUAAUACCGCAUAGUUUUCUUGAUCGCAUGAUUGAGAAAGGAAAGACGGCCUUUGUGCUGUCGCUUAUGGAUGGACCCGCGGCGUAUUAGUUAGUUGGUGAGGUAACGGCUCACCAAGACGAUGAUACGUAGCCGACCUGAGAGGGUGAUCGGCCACAUUGGGACUGAGACACGGCCCAAACUCCUACGGGAGGCAGCAGUAGGGAACCUUCCGCAAUGGACGAAAGUCUGACGGAGCAACGCCGCGUGAGUGAAAGAAGGUUUUCGGAUCGUAAAACUCUGUUGUCAGAGAAGAACAAGUUGGAGAGUAACUGCUCCAGCCUUGACGGUAUCUGACCAGAAAGCCACGGCUAACUACGUGCCAGCCGCGGC